RNAcentral lists this non-coding RNA (131 nucleotides) under unclassified sequences. RNAcentral describes it as "DUF3800-I RNA". It matches the Rfam family "DUF3800-I RNA". Rfam says of the family: Actinobacteria, Firmicutes, Fusobacteria, Proteobacteria (1 example), Tenericutes (2 examples). The record is from Rfam by way of RNAcentral.
UUAAUAUACCAAAAGGGAAUAAUCCUUUGUUCGGUGUACAAGUAAGAUUAGAUUGAAAAAUUAAGUGUAUCUAUAAAUACACCUACUUACUUGGAAAAGAGCCAUUUAGACGGCUCUUUUUUUAUGGUAAA